UUAAUCCCUCAGUAAACUGGUUGUGUUAAUCCCUCAGUAAACUGAUUGUGUUAAUCCCUCAGUAAACUGGUUGUGUUAAUCUCUCAGUAAACUGGUUGUGUUAAUCUCUCAGUAAACUGGUUGUGUUAAUCCCUCAGAAAGCAGGUUGUGUUAAUCUCUCAGUAAACUGGUUGUGUUAAUCCCUCAGAAAGCAGGUUGUGUUAAUCCCUCAGUAAACUGGUUGUGUUAAUCCCUCAUAAAUCAGGUUGUGUUAAUCCCUCAGGAACCAGGUUGUGUUAAUCCCUCAGUAAACUGGUUGUGUUAAUCCCUCAGUAACCAGGUUGUGUUAAUCCCUCAGAAAACUGGUUGUGUUAAUCCCCUCAGGAACCAGGUUGUGUUAAUCCCUCAGGAACCAGGUUGUGUUAAUCCCUCAGUAAACAGGUUGUGUUAAUC
Long non-coding RNA from Oncorhynchus keta (chum salmon), 432 nucleotides. RefSeq lists it as uncharacterized. The transcript is spliced from 3 exons. The record is from RefSeq and is a predicted model, not a curated record. NCBI's taxonomy places the organism in Eukaryota, Metazoa, Chordata, Actinopteri, Salmoniformes, Salmonidae.